This 2676-nucleotide ribosomal RNA is filed under the name Microgenomates group bacterium GW2011_GWA2_46_16. RNAcentral's name for it is "bacterial LSU rRNA". It matches the Rfam family "Bacterial large subunit ribosomal RNA", at positions 1 to 2526 of the family's 2925-position model. The record is from RNAcentral.
AACCAAGAGCAUACGGUGGAUGCCUAGGGUCUUUGAGGCGAUGAAGGACGUUGCGUGGCGACGAAAACUUCGGGGAGGCGCUUAGCGGCCUUUGAUCCGGAGGUCUCCGAAUGGGGCAACCCCUUGCUGACAAAUCAGCAAGAUCCCAAUUUCAUAUUGGGAAGCAUACCCAGGGAAGUGAAACAUCUCAUUACCUGGAGGAAAAUAGAACAAUCUUGCCUGCGCAAGCAGGUGUUAUUCCUUUAGUAGCGGCGAGCGAAAAAGGAAAAGCCCAAACUCAGCUUUAAUUCCAGUAUACCAAUAGUGGUAUUUUGGAAGAGGAAGAGUUACAAAACGCUUGGUUAGUAGAAUCCGUUGGAAAGCGGAGCCAAAGAAGGUGAAAGCCCUGUAAACGAAAACUUUGCGUCUCUUUAGCUGCUGUUCUUGAGUACUUCAGGACACGAAUGGCCUGGAGGAAUUUGCCGGAACUAACCGGUAAGGCUAAAUACUUAAAGACACCGAUAGUGAACAAGUACCGUGAGGGAAAGGUGAAAAACACCCCGGAAGGGGAGUGAAAUAGAUCUGAAACCGUAUGCUUACAAAGAGUCGGAGCCCGAUCCGCAAGGGUCUAGGGUGACGGCGUGCCUAUUGAAGAAUGAGCCAACGAGUUUAUCCCAAUCCUUUGUCUAAUCCACCUUAGGUGGAGAAGGCGUAGGGAAACCGAGUGUUAAUAGCGCGUUCAGGUUUGGGAUAAGACCCGAAGCCGGGUGAGCUACCCAUGAGCAGGAUGAACUCCGAUGAAAAUCGGAGGGAGGUCCGAACCGAUAAGCCGUGCAAAACUUUCGGAUGACUUGUGGGUUGGAGUGAAAAGCUAAUCGAACCCGGUAAUAGCUGGUUCUCUCCGAAAUAGCUUUCGGGCUAGCGUCGAGUGAUACCUUUGGGGGUAGAGCUACUGGAUGGAUAGAAUAGGGAGAAAUCUCGUCUGUCUAAUCAAACUCCGAAUACCAAAGAUUUUAACUCGGCAGUCAGACUACGGGGGCAAAGCUCCGUCGGUCAAAAGGGAAACAGCCCAGAUCUCAAGUUAAGGUCCCUAAAUUCAUGCUAAGUGCGUCUUAAGGAGGUUAGAUUUCUCCGACAAUGAGGAGGUUGGCUUAGAAGCAGCCAUCCUUUAAAGAAAGCGUAACAGCUCACUCAUCGAGAGAUUUUGCGCCGCAGAUAAUCGGGGCUAAGCAUGGUACCGAAGCUGAGGACUCUUUCUGAUUUCGAUCAGAAGGAUUGGUAGGAGAGUGUUCCACACCGCGUUGAAGUUCUAGCCGCGAGGCGGAAUGGAGUGUGUGGAAGUAAGAAUGUUGGCACAAGUAACCACAAGUCCGAUGAAAAAUCGGACCGCCGAAAGACUAAGGUUUCCUUGGUAAUGUUAAUCAGCCAAGGGUUAGUCGGUCCUAAGGGGAUGGCGAAAGCCGCACCUAAUGGAUACACGGUUAAUAUUCCGUGACUUCCAUGCUUUUCGAUGGAGUGACGGAGGAAAUAAACGCAAGUACUUUAUUGGAUUAGUACUCCUUGCGAGAGAAGUGUUCGCCAUGCAAAUCAGGCGGACUGAUUUAAUUCAAACUUCAUUCGUCGGGAAAACUUUGUUCGUUCGCGGACAGGGAAUUUGCGUGAAGAGCCUCCCUAGAAAAACUUCUAAGAAUAAAAGCAUGGGAACCGUACCGCAAACCGACACAGGUAGUCAGGUCGAGAAGACCAAGGCGAACGAGUGAGAAGUCCCCAAGGAACUCGGCAAAAAAGCGACCGUAACUUAGGGAUAAGGUCUUCCCGCACAUAACUUACCAAAUAACUUUUAAAGUUAAACAUGUUUUAUUUCGUAGAACAUUUAUUUAAUAAAAAAGAUUGUUUGUUGAGUUAUGUGCGGGACGCAGCGAAAGUAUCUCUGGCGACUGUUUAUCAAAAACACAGCUCCCUGCGAACUCGUAAGAGGAUGUAUAGGGGGUGACGCCUGACCAAUGCCAGAAGGUUAAAAUAUGUCGGUUUGGGUCGCAAGAUUCAAGCUGAACGUAUUAAGCCCUGGUGAAUGUCGGCAAUAACUAUAAUUGUCCUAAGGUAGCGAAAUACCUUGUCGGGUAGGAAACUGCCCAUCCCGAUGGUGAAGUUCCGACGCGCAUGAAUGGCGUAACGACCAGAGAACUGUCUCGGGGACUCGCUCGGUGAAAAUACAAUACCGGUGAAGAUGCCGGUUACCCACAGUUAGACGAAAAGACCCCGUGAAGCUUUACUACAACUUGAUAUUGAGCGUGUUUUUUUGUUGCGUAGAAUAGAUGGGAGACUUUGAAGUUUCGAUUCCGGUCGGAAUGGAGUCAUCAGUGCAAUACCAUCCUUUAGAGAGGCACGUUCUAACCAGUACGGCAAAAACGGACUGGAACAGUAUCUGGUGGGUAGUUUGUUUGGGGCGAAUCCCUCCUAAAAAGUAACGGAGGGGUCUACCAAGGUUCCCUAGGCGCGAAUGGAAACCGUGCCGAUAGCGUAAUGGCAUAAGGGAGCUUAACUGCGAGGCGUACAUGCCGAGCAGAUGCGAAAGCAGAGCAUAGUGAACCGACCACUCGCAUUAGACGCGGUGGAAGAUUAUCGGACAAAAGCUACUCCGGGGAUAACAGGCUAGUUCCGCCCAAGAGUUCAAAUCGACGGCGGAGUUCGGCACCU